GCCUAUGAUGCAAUUGUAUAAUUCAGAAGUGCAAUGUUAUUGCAUUUAAUGUGUUGAAACAUUUUUUGAACUAGGACGGUCUGAGGC
This is a small nucleolar RNA of Arachis stenosperma, 87 nucleotides long. RefSeq annotates it as small nucleolar RNA snoR20a. The transcript has a single exon. NCBI's taxonomy places the organism in Eukaryota, Viridiplantae, Streptophyta, Magnoliopsida, Fabales, Fabaceae. The record is from RefSeq and is a predicted model, not a curated record.